Molecule: long non-coding RNA, 753 nt
Organism: Culex pipiens pallens (northern house mosquito)
Lineage: Eukaryota; Metazoa; Arthropoda; Insecta; Diptera; Culicidae
Exons: 3
Source: RefSeq, a predicted model, not a curated record
CAAACGUUUAGGUGAUUCCGGUGGUUAGUGAGUGGUGUUCCACGACGUCAAUCAAAACAGAACGCGUCCGCAGCCAGGACUUGUACGCGGAUACCUUCGAAGGAGGAUGGUGCGGAACAAGGUUAGGGGAUUAGGGGAAAGUUGGUUUUCAAAAGGAUGAGGCCAGCUUCCUGCCGGAUCUGCAGCUGUUUCACGACCGAAAUGGGACGCCGUUUAUGCGGAUGUGAAUUUGCACCGGCUGUAUUCGAUAAAGUUAAUUUUAACGGUGAGGAGAAGGAUCCGACGGAAGAGGGAAACGACGAGAAGCGAUCGGAGGUGGUCAGCGCGGAUGUUGCACUCGGUGCCGGCAGUUUACGACCAUCAGCAGCAUUAUGUGCCGGAAGUGAUGACGGGACAGUGUGGGAUGUCCUGAGGGUCCGCAGUCCAUUUCUCGGUGCGGGACAUGUUUGACGAGUAUUACAUAAACAUCCGGAAGAACAGUUUGCACCAGUUCUGGAAGAACCGUCUGUACGAAAGCCGCAGGUCCUGAAGCUGUCGUACUCGGAUUACUUCCAGAGGUUGGAGCGAUAUCCGACGAACCUGAUCAAGAUCAUCUACCUGGAAUACCGAAGAAGCCACCGCAACUCCCGCCCGCAAACUCUCAACUCGCGACGGCGCAGCUUCGGCCGGAUGAACUGGCAACAUCUGUGCCAUUCUCGAAGGAGGACGAUGUGAUCGGGAAUUAUCGGUUCAGGCGCUUCACUUCCCAGUCGG